RNAcentral lists this ribosomal RNA (460 nucleotides) under uncultured bacterium. RNAcentral's name for it is "partial 16S ribosomal RNA". It matches the Rfam family "Bacterial small subunit ribosomal RNA", at positions 338 to 795 of the family's 1533-position model. The record is from RNAcentral.
CCUACGGGCGGCAGCAGUGAGGAAUAUUGGUCAAUGGACGAGAGUCUGAACCAGCCAAGUAGCGUGAAGGAUGACUGCCCUAUGGGUUGUAAACUUCUUUUAUAUGGGAAUAAAAUGUUCCACGUGUGGGAUUUUGUAUGUACCAUAUGAAUAAGGAUCGGCUAACUCCGUGCCAGCAGCCGCGGUAAUACGGAGGAUCCGAGCGUUAUCCGGAUGUAUUGGGUUUAAAGGGAGCGUAGGUGGAUUGUUAAGUCAGUUGUGAAAGUUUGCGGCUCAACCGUAAAAUUGCAGUUGAAACUGGCAGUCUUGAGUACAGUAGAGGUGGGUGGAAUGCGUGGUGUAGCGGUGAUAUGCUUAGAUAUCACGAAGAACUCCGAUUGCGAAGGCAGCUCACUGGACUGCAACUGACACUGAGGCUCGAAAGUGUGGGUAUCAAACAGGACUAGACACCCGAGUAGUC